Molecule: long non-coding RNA, 199 nt
Filed under: Theobroma cacao (cacao)
Lineage: Eukaryota; Viridiplantae; Streptophyta; Magnoliopsida; Malvales; Malvaceae
Description: long non-coding RNA (TCAC_LNC001420)
Source: RNAcentral
AAAAACUAAAUCAUAGGUGUGCAGUGCACUGAAAAAAAAGGAAAAAGGAGAAAAGCUAUGCAGUGCACAUGAUUUAUCACUAUUUCAAAAUAAUUUAUUGGAUUUUAUUAAAGGUGGUAAAAUUAUAUAUUUCAAUUUUAUACAUACAAAAAUAAAAAUAAUUAAAAAAUAGAGGGUGUCGGCCCUCUCCUUCUGCCAC